RNAcentral lists this ribosomal RNA (400 nucleotides) under phytoplankton environmental sample. RNAcentral describes it as "partial small subunit ribosomal RNA". It matches the Rfam family "Eukaryotic small subunit ribosomal RNA", at positions 587 to 980 of the family's 1831-position model. The record is from RNAcentral.
AGCUCCAAUAGCGUAUAUUAAAGUUGUUGCAGUUAAAAAGCUCGUAGUUGGAUUUCUGGUUUGAGCGUCGGGUCCGGUUCUUACGAAUCGUGAACUAUGAUUGCUUGGGCCAUUUUUUGUGAGGAUGCCUUCCUGCCAUCAAGUUGGUGGAUUGGUGGACUUGCAUCGUUUACUGUGAAAAAAUUAGAGUGUUUAAAGCAGGCGUUUGCUCAUUUGAAUACAUUAGCAUGGAAUAAUAAGAUACGACCUUGGUGGUCUAUUUUGUUGGUUUGCACACCAGGGUAAUGAUUAAUAGGGACAGUUGGGGGUAUUCAUAUUUCAGCGUCAGAGGUGAAAUUCUUGGAUCGCUGAAAGAUGAGCUUAGGCGAAAGCAUUUAUCAAGGAUGUUUUCAUUAAUCAA